AGCUUUAUAGUCAAAAUAAAAAAUGAUUUUAAAUUGCAAAUUUAAAGACGGUUAAACCCUAAGGCUU
Molecule: transfer RNA, 67 nt
Filed under: Liogluta microptera
Lineage: Eukaryota; Metazoa; Arthropoda; Insecta; Coleoptera; Staphylinidae
Description: tRNA-Cys
Source: RNAcentral